RNAcentral lists this transfer RNA (65 nucleotides) under Phyllidiella pustulosa. RNAcentral's name for it is "tRNA-Tyr". Lineage: Eukaryota; Metazoa; Mollusca; Gastropoda; Nudibranchia; Phyllidiidae. RNAcentral also lists the same sequence under 1 other name. The record is from RNAcentral.
AUUUUGGUGGCUGAAGUAUUAAGCGGUAAAUUGUAAAUUUAUAGACGGCAGUCAAAUGCCCCUUA